Molecule: ribosomal RNA, 301 nt
Filed under: uncultured bacterium
Lineage: Bacteria
Description: partial 16S ribosomal RNA
Rfam family: Bacterial small subunit ribosomal RNA
Source: RNAcentral
CAGUCGCCGCGGGAAUACGAAGGGGGCUAGCGUUGUUCGGAAUCACUGGGCGUAAAGCGCACGUAGGCGGAUUUUUAAGUCAGGGGUGAAAUCCCGAGGCUCAACCUCGGAACUGCCUUUGAUACUGGCGACCUUGAGUAUGGGAGAGGUGAGUGGAACUCCGAGUGUAGAGGUGAAAUUCGUAGAUAUUCGGAAGAACACCAGUGGCGAAGGCGACUCACUGGCCCAUUACUGACGCUGAGGCUCGAAAGCGUGGGGAGCAAACAGGAUUAGAUACCCCCGUAGUCCCUGUCUCUUAUAC